CACAAGUUGCAUGAAGCUAAAUUGUGGAAGAACUGUAGAAGAUAGCACAAAAAAGUGAAUACAACAUUAAUAGCCGACAAGUUAAUGAACAUUUUAAAGCAAAAAUGAGGUCUCUAGGUGAAAGUAUGCUGAAGUUAUAAGGCUUAGAAGGUGGAAGAAUAAAAGGAAGAUAUGGAAGAUUUCCCCAUUGACUUCAAUGUUAAAAUUUUUGCACAAAAAGUUUAAAAAAAACAAAAAGUAUAAAAGGUAGAAGAGUGAAAAGUAAUAGCUAUCAUGUCCUGAAGGAGUGGAAUAGUUUAAAGUUUGAACGGUUGAAAUCGGACAAAGUUUGAAGGAGGAGAAGCGGUCCAAAAAAGGUACGGAAGAAUAAUAAUAAGUUGAAUAAAGAAACAGGAGAAUAACAAUAAGUGGAAAUGCUUAAUCAGCAUUUCCACUUAACUAGAAAAAUUGCAUUUCCUUGCAGAAAAUGCGUGGAAAUGCUGAGUGCUGAAAGCUGAAAAAGCAAUGCUAAACUGCUAAUAAAACAUGGAGAAAGGUAUAAAUGUUAAAGCUGUUGAAGGGGUGAAAAAGAAAUAUAAGUUGGAUAAUUGAUUAAUUGGUUGAAGGACAAAUAGUAUGAAUAUGCUCUAUAAAAGGAAAUUUUAUUCAUGCUGAAAGAGGCUAGAAAAAUGUCGAAAAUUGCACAAAGUUUGAAUGAAGAAGGAAAUUGCCUUAAAAGGCAGGAAGGUGAGAAGUGGCAUAAGUUUAAAUUGUAGUACUAGAAGUAGUAUGAUAAGAAGUCAAGUCGUGAUACUAGUAGUCAUGUCAGCAGUAGAAGUAGAUUGAGAAUAAAAGAAGUAUAAGUCAAAGUAGUAAAGAAAGUAGAAAUAGGAGCAAUAGCAGUUGAAGUAGAGGGGAAAGUUCUAGUUUAAUUGACAUUAGGAGUAGUUGUCGUACUUGAGGUAGGAUUUUGUUUGAAUGAUGGAGUAAUGCAUAAAUAUUAAAACUAAUUUAAAACAGGGAAAUUUUAAAUUUUUAAAAGUCCUCAAGUAUCAGAAAGUUUUGAAGUAUUAGAAAGGUUUGAAUCAGUUUGAAUGAGUUUAAAUUAGUUUGAAAAAUUAAAUGAUAAAUCAUCACUGACUGACUUUUAAAAUGUGAAAAAUUUAAAUGAAUAACAAUCCUAAAUACACCCAAUAAUGUCCUCAAUGAGCUUAAAUUUCAAAGCCCUGAAUGGUUUCUGUAGGUCAAAGGUCAUAUGAGGAGAUAGGGGCUGAAGUUUUUCCAACGCUCUAGGAAAGGGUUUUAAGUGUCAUCCCCAGUGCUAUGUGUACUGAGCCUGGCUUCAUGUGUCUCAUAUGGCCACUAGAAGCAGCUUUCCAGUCAGCUGUGUGUCUCCAGGUGCACAAAUUGGUUGCCAUGGGGACCUUGGAUGCAUAACUAUAGCAGGAGAAAGAAGGCUUGAAGCCAAAGAAACAGGACUCCAAGUAGGCCCUGACGCUCACCCUCUGUAUAUAUUCAUAAGGAGCUUGUGAGAACACAAGACUCUGCUGAACACAUUAAUACAAUUUAUUAUCACAAUCCUCAAAACACCCCAUAAUAUCUUCAAUGAGCUGAAUUUUUGAAGCCCAGAAUGGUUUCUGUAGCUCAAAGUUUGUGGGUGGAGAUAGGUGGUAAAGCAGACACAUAUUAACUGUGUGUACAAGCAGCUGAACUGCAAGGUGGACCUCAAAAAGCAACAAGUACAAGAAUGUGUGUGCGUGUGUGUCUCGUUAAUGACUGCAUCCUAAACAGCUGUGAGAUCAAAGGCAAAUCACUAACCUACUGUUUGAAUGAGAAGCAGCUGAACUGCAGUGAAUUUCAGCCUGUGAACUUCUUCACAUAGCGUGAUUUCCUUAAGUCCCAGAAUGAAAAUAAGAACAUCGUACGAAUCCUCCGUCCUUCAUGAACACAAUGAUGUGUUUUUCAUGUCUGUACUUCGAAAAAUGAGGCCACAACAGCGAGUUAAAAAAGUCUGAGCCUGAGCGAUGAUCCGGAUUUUCUUGGAGAAAAAUAACAUUAUGGUCAAUGGGAGAGAUUUCCGCCUUCCUUGGACAGUUGGUCAUCUGCUGGCCAAGGGGUAUGAUUUAAUGAUUUGAAACCUCUUUUGUGAGAAGCAGGACACAUAUACCUCCAUUUUGAUGUAUUAUUUAUCGCUGUGGAGUGAGAUUUGUGGGCGUGGGAGCGAUAUAUUCGAGCGAGCUUCUGUCGAUCAGAGACGAGGUCUGCACUCUAGCUGAUGACAUCAUCACUCUAAACUCUCCAAUACACACCCAUUAUAAAGCUUGAAAUUUGCUGAAAACCACAAGUUGCUUAAAGCUAAAUUGUGGAAAAACUGUACAAGAUAUCAAAAAACUGAGUACAACUUUAAUAGUCGACAAGUGAAUGAACAUUUUAAAGCAAAAAUGAGGUCUCUAGGUGAAAGUAUGCUGAAGUUAUAAGGUCUAGAAGGUGGAAGAAUAAAAGGAAGAAGUGGAAGAUUUCCCCAUUGACUUCAAUGUUAAAAUUUUUGCACAAAAAGUUAAAAAAAACAAAAAGUAUAAAAGGUAGAAAGGUAAAAAGUACAAGCAAACAUGUCCUGAAGGAGUGGAAUAGUUUAAAGUUUGAACGGUUGAAAUCGCACAAAGUUUGAAGGAGUUGAAAGCGGACGAAAAACGGCGGAAGAAUAAUAAUAAGUUUAAUAAUAAAGAAACAGGAGAAUAACAAUAAGUGGAAAUGCUUAAUCAGCAUUUCCACUUAAUAAAGAAACGGGAGAAUAACAAUAAGUGGAAAUGCCUAUCAGCAUUUCCACUUAAUAAUAAAGAAAAAUGGCCGACAGGAAUAACAAUAAGUGGAAAUGCUUAAUCAGCAUUUCCACUUAACUAGAAAAAUUGCAUUUCCUUGCAGAAAAUGCGUGGAAAUGCUGAGUGCUGAAAGCUGAAAAAGCAAUGCUAAACUGCUAAUAAAACAUGGAGAAAGGUAUAAAUGUUAAAGCUGUUGAAGGGGUGUGAAAGAAAUGUAAGUUGGAUAAUUGAUUAAUUGGUUGAAGGACAAAUAGUAUGAAUAUGCUCUAUAAAAAGAAAUUUUAUUCAUACUGAAAGAGGCUAGAAAAAUGUCUAAAAUUGCACAAAGUUUGAAUGAAGAAGGAAAUUGCCUUAAAAGGCAGGAAGGUGGGAAGUGGCAUAAGUUUAAUUUUUUAAGUAUUAGAAAGGUUUGAAUCAGUUUGAAUCAGUUCAAAUUAGUUUGAAAAAUUAAAUGAUAAAUCAUCACUGAGUGACUUUAAAAUGUGAAAAAUCUAAAUGUAUAUAAAUCCUAAAUACACCCCAUAAUGUCCUCAAUGAGCUCAAAUUUUAAAGCCCUGAAUGGUUUCUGUAGGUCAAAGGUCAUGUGAGGAGAUAGGGGCUGAAGGUUUUUCAAGCGCUCUAGGAAUGGGUUUUAAGUGUCAUCCCAGGUGCUAUGUUUACUGAGCCUGGCUUCAUGUGUCUCAUAUGGCCAUUAGAUGCAGCUUUCCAGUCAGCUGUGUGUCUCCAGGUGCACAAAUUGGUUGCCAUGGGGACCUUGGAUGCAUAACUAUAGCAGGAGAAAGAAGGCUUGAAGCUAAGGAAACAGGACUCCAAGUAGGCCCUGACGCUCAUCCUCUGUAUAAAUUCAUAAGGAGCUUGUGAGAACACAAGAUUUUGCUGAACACAUUAAUACAAUUUAUUAUCACAAUCCUCAAAACACCCCAUAAUAUCUUCAAUGAGCUGAAUUUUAGAAGCCCAGAAUGGUUUCUGUAGCUCAAAGUUUGUGGGUGGAGAUAGGUGGCGAAGCAGACACAUAUUAUCUGUGUGUACAAGCAGGUGAACUGCAAGGUAGACCUGACAAAGCAACAAGUACAAGAAUGUGUGUGUGUGUGUGUGUGUGUCUCAUUAAUGACUGCAUCCCUAACAGCUGUGAGAUCAAAGGCAAAUCACUGACCUACUGUUUGAAUGACAAGCAGCUGAACAACAGAGGAUUAGAAGCCUGUGAACUUCUUCACAUAGCGUGAUUUCCUUAAGUCCCAGAAUGAAAAUAAGAACAUCGUACGAAUCCUCCGUCCUUCAUGAACACAAUGAUGUAUUUUUCAUGUCUGUACUCCGAAAAAUGUGGCCACAACAGCGAGUUAAAAAUGUCUGAGCCUGAGUGACGAUAAGGAUUUUCUUGGAGAAGAAAUACAUUAGGGCCAAUGGGGAGAUAUUUGCGCCUAUCUGGACAGUUGGUCACCUGCUGGCCAAGGGGUACGAUUUAAUGAUUUGAAACCUCUUUUGUGAGAAGCAGGACACAUAUACCUCCAUUUUGAUGUAUUAUUUGUGUCAGUGGAGUGAGAUUUGUGGGCGUGGGAGCGAUAUAUUCGAGCGAGGUUCUGUCGAUCAGAGACGAGGUCUGCACUCUAGCUGAUGACAUCAUCACUCUAAACUCUCCAAUACACACCCAUUAUAAAGCUUGAAAUUUGCUGAAAACCACAAGUUGCAUAAAGCUAAAUUGUGGAAGAACUGUAAAAGAUAUCAAAAAACUGAGUACAACUAUAAUAGUCGACAAGUGAAUGAACAUUUUAAAGCAAAAAUGAGGUCUCUAGGUGAAAGUAUGCUGAAGUUAUAAGGUCUAGAAGGUGGAAGAAUGAAAGGAAGAAGUUGAAGAUUUCCCCAUUGACUUCAAUGUUAAAAUUUUUGCACAAAAAGUUAAAAAAAACAAAAAGUAUAAAGGGUAGAAAGAAAAAUACACGCAAUAAUGUCCUGAAGGAGUGGAAUAGUUUAAAGUUUGAAUGGUUGAAAUCGGACAAAGUUUGAAGGAGGAGAAGCGGUCCAAAAAAGGGACGGAAGAAUAAUAAUAAUAACUAGAAAAAUUGCAUUUCCUUGCAGAAAAUGCGUGGAAAUGCUGAGUGCUGAAAGCUGAAAAAGCAAUGCUAAACUGCUAAUAAAACAUGGAGAAAGGCAUAAAUGUUAAAGCUGUUGAAGGGGUGAAAAAGAAAUAUAAGUUGGAUAAUAGUUUAAUUGGUUGAAGGACAAAUAGUAUGAAUAUGCUCUAUAAAAGGAAAUUUUAUUCAUGCUGAAAGAGGCUAGAAAAAUGUCUAAAAUUGCACAAAGUUUGAAUGAAGAAGGAAACUGCCUUUAAAGGCAGGAAGGUGAGAAGUGGCAUAAGUUUAAGUUGUAGUACUAGAAGAAGUAUGAUAAGAAGUCAAGUCGUGAUACUAGUAGUCAUGUCAGCAGUAGAAGUAGAUUGAGAAUAAAAGAAGUAUAAGUCAAAGUAGUAAAGAAAGUAGAAAUAGUAGCAAUAGCAGCAGUAGAGAAAGUAGAAAUAGGAGCAAUAGCAGUUGAAGUAGAGGGGAAAGUUCUAGUUUAAUUGACAUAAGUAGUUGUAGUACUAGAGGUAGGAUUUUGUUUGAAGGACGGAAUAAUGCAUAAAUAUUAAAACUAAUAUAAAACAGGGAAAAUUUUAUUAAUUAAAAAUCCUCAAGUAUCAGACAGUUUUUAAGUAUUAGAAAGGUUUGAAUCAGUUUGAAUGAGUUUAAAUUAGUUUGAAAAAUUAAAUGAUAAAUCAUCACUGAGUGACUUUAAAAUGUGAAAAAUUUAAAUGAAUAUAAAUCCUAAAUACACCCCAUAAUGUCCUCAAUGAGCUUAAAUUUUAAAGCCCUGAAUGGUUUCUGUAGGUCAAAGGUCAUGUGAGGAGAUAGGGGCUGAAGGUUUUUCAAGCGCUCUAGGAAAGGGUUUUAAGUGUCAUCCCCAGUGCUAUGUGUACUGAGCCUGGCUUCAUGUGUCUCAUAUGGCCAUUAGAAGCAGCUUUCCAGUCAGCUGUGUGUCUCCAGGUGCACAAAUUGGUUGCCAUGGGGACCUUGGAUGAAUAACUAUAGCAGGAGAAAGAAGGCUUGAAGCUAAGGAAACAGGACUCCAAGUAGGCCCUGACGCUCAUCCUCUGUAUAAAUUCAUAAGGAGCUUGUGAGAACACAAGACUUUGCUGAACACAUUAAUACAAUUUAUUAUCACAAUCCUCAAAACACCCCAUAAUAUCUUCAAUGAGCUGAAUUUUUCAAGCCCAGAAUGGUUUCUGUAGCUCAAAGUUUGUGGGUGGAGAUAGGUGGUGAAGCAGACACAUAUUAUCUGUGUGUACAAGCAGGUGAACUGCAAGGUAGACCUGAUAAUGCAACAAGUACAAGAAUGUGUGUGUGUGUGUGUGUGUGUGUGUGUGUGUGUGUGUGUGUGUGUGUGUGUGUGUGUGUGUGUGUGUGUCUCGUUAAUGACUGCAUCCUAAACAGCUGUGAGAUCAAAGGCAAAUCACUGACCUACUGUUUGAAUGAGAAGCAGCUGAACUGCAGAGGAUUAGAAGCCUCUGAACUUCUUCACAUAGCGUGAUUUCCUUAAGUCACAGAAUGAAAAUAAGAACAUCGUACGAAUCCUCCGUCCUUCAUGAACACAAUGAUGUGUUUUUCAUGUCUGUACUCCGAAAAAUGUGGCCACAACAGCGAGUUAAAAAAGUCUGAGCCUGAGUGACGAUAAGGAUUUUCUUGGAGAAGAAAUACAUUAGGGCCAAUGGGGAGAUAUUUGCGCCUAUCUGGACAGUUGGUCACCUGCUGGCCAAGGGGUACGAUUUAAUGAUUUGAAACCUCUUUUGUGAGAAGCAGGACACAUAUACCUCCAUUUUGAUGUAUUAUUUGUGUCAGUGGAGUGAGAUUUGUGGGCGUGGGAGCGAUAUAUUCGAGCGAGGUUCUGUCGAUCAGAGACGAGGUCUGCACUCUAGCUGAUGACAUCAUCACUCUAAACUCUCCAAUACACACCCAUUAUAAAGCUUGAAAUUUGCUGAAAACCACAAGUUGCUUAAAGCUAAAUUGUGGAAGAACUGUAGAAGAUAUCAAAAAACUGAGUACAACUAUAAUAGUCGACAAGUGAAUGAACAUUUUAAAGCAAAAAUGAGGUCUCUAGGUGAAAGUAUGCUGAAGUUAUAAGGUCUAGAAGGUGGAAGAAUGAAAGGAAGAAGUUGAAGAUUUCCCCAUUGACUUCAAUGUUAAAAUUUUUGCACAAAAAGUUAAAAAAAACAAAAAGUAUAAAGGGUAGAAAGAAAAAAAAUACACGCAAUAAUGUCCUGAAGGAGUGG
Non-coding RNA from Xyrichtys novacula (pearly razorfish), 7098 nucleotides. Lineage: Eukaryota; Metazoa; Chordata; Actinopteri; Labriformes; Labridae. The record is from the annotation of a GenBank genome assembly.